GGUUUAGCUGAGUGGCAUAAGCACCUGUUUGGCAAGCACAAGGUCAUGGGUUCAAUUCCCAAUACCA
RNAcentral lists this transfer RNA (67 nucleotides) under Cavia porcellus (domestic guinea pig). It matches the Rfam family "tRNA". From Rfam's summary of the family: Transfer RNA (tRNA) molecules are approximately 80 nucleotides in length. Their secondary structure includes four short double-helical elements and three loops (D, anti-codon, and T loops). Lineage: Eukaryota; Metazoa; Chordata; Mammalia; Rodentia; Caviidae. The record is from Rfam by way of RNAcentral.